GCCCCAGUAACGGCGAGUGAAGCGGCAACAGCUCAAAUUUGAAAUCUGGUCCCCAGGGCCCGAGUUGUAAUUUGCAGAGGAUGCUUUUGGUGAGGUGCCUUCCGAGUUCCCUGGAACGGGACGCCAUAGAGGGUGAGAGCCCCGUCUGGUUGGAUACCGAGCCUCUGUAAAGCUCCUUCGACGAGUCGAGUAGUUUGGGAAUGCUGCUCUAAAUGGGAGGUAUAUGUCUUCUAAAGCUAAAUAUUGGCCAGAGACCGAUAGCGCACAAGUAGAGUGAUCGAAAGAUGAAAAGCACUUUGAAAAGAGGGUUAAAUAGUACGUGAAAUUGUUGAAAGGGAAGCACUUAUGACCAGACUUGGCCCCGGUGAAUCAUCCAGCGGUUCCCGCUGGUGCACUUUGCCGGGGUUCAGGCCAGCAUCAGUUCGCUCCGGGGGAUAAAGGCUUUGGGAAUGUGGCUCCCUCGGGAGUGUUAUAGCCCAUUGCGUAAUACCUUGUGGCGGGCUGAGGUUCGCGCUUUAUGCAAGGAUGCUGGCAUAAUGGUCAUCAGUGACCCGUCUUGAAACACGGACCAAGGAGUCGUCUUCGUAUGCGAGUGUUCGGGUGUUAAACCCCUACGCGUAAUGAAAGUGAACGCAGGUGAGAGCCCUCCAGGGCGCAUCAUCGACCGAUCCUGAUGUUCUCGGAUGGAUUUGAGUAAGAGCAUACGGGGCCGGACCCGAAAGAAGGUGAACUAUGCCUGUAUAGGGUGAAGCCAGAGGAAACUCUGGUGGAGGCUCGCAGCGGUUCUGACGUGCAAAUCGAUCGUCAAAUAUGGGCAUGGGGGCGAAAGACUAAUCGAACCUUCUAGUAGCUGGUUUCCGCCGAAGUUUCCCUCAGGAUAGCAGUGUUGAUUUCUCAGUUUUAUGAGGUAAAGCGAAUGAUUAGGGACCCGGGGGCGGCUUAUAGCCUUCAUCCAUUCUCAAACUUUAAAUAUGUAAGAAGCCCUUGUUGCUUAGGUGAACGUGGGCAUUCGAAUGUAUCAACACUAGUGGGCCAUUUUUGGUAAGCAGAACUGGCGAUGCGGGAUGAACCGAACGCGAGGUUAAGGUGCCAGAGUAGACGCUCAUCAGACACCACAAAAGGUGUUAGUACAUCUUGACAGCAGGACGGUGGCCAUGGAAGUCGGAAUCCGCUAAGGACUGUGUAACAACUCACCUGCCGAAUGUACUAGCCCUGAAAAUGGAUGGCGCUCAAGCGUCUCACCCAUACCUCGCCCUCGGGGUAGGAACGAUGCCCCGAGGAGUAGGCGGACGUGGGGGUCAGUGACGAAGCCCAGG
This 1316-nucleotide ribosomal RNA is filed under the name Metarhizium guizhouense. RNAcentral describes it as "eukaryotic LSU rRNA". It matches the Rfam family "Eukaryotic large subunit ribosomal RNA", at positions 77 to 1414 of the family's 3401-position model. Lineage: Eukaryota; Fungi; Ascomycota; Sordariomycetes; Hypocreales; Clavicipitaceae. The record is from RNAcentral.